Molecule: RNA transcript, 7011 nt
Organism: Dunckerocampus dactyliophorus (ringed pipefish)
Lineage: Eukaryota; Metazoa; Chordata; Actinopteri; Syngnathiformes; Syngnathidae
Gene name: unconventional myosin-Ic-like
Exons: 36
Source: RefSeq, a predicted model, not a curated record
AUCUCUAUUCCACUUUUUUUUUUAAGUACCCUAGGAAUCCUUACAUGCAGCUGUGAACGCAUCAGUCAAUCAGAGACAAGUUAGCAAAUGAAACAGCAAUUAAAGUAAACGAACGAGGAUUUCUUUUGCGUUUACCUCACAAAAUCAGAACUUUGGCCACGCUAAGGAGAGGACAUUAUUCAAAAGGAGACAAGAAAAAGUAAAGACUAACACCACAGCUCUCCAGCGAUACAGCACAAUAAGAUGCAGUAGCGGCAUGAUGUGGUGGCGGCAGUCCGCCCUCCCAUGCAGACCACCACUACAGCUCCAAAGAAUCCUAGGGGAAACCCUGCAGUGCGAAGGUGUCGUCUAUGUUGCUCUUCCUCGCCGGUCUUCGCCAACAAGAGUCUUCAAUCAAGAUUCUGCACCUUCAGGUGAAAAACACAUGGGAAUGGAAUGUAAAGUACGCACAAGUUGACUCACCUUCUGCUGUCAGUGAACAGAAGCAGACUGCUGCUGGGGAGGAAUGCUGGCUAAAAAGUAGGCAAUCUCAUUGGGGAGGUUGAGCAGGAGGGAGAAGGACGUGUAGAAAGUGAAAAAGGGGAGAGAAGACUUUGAGCUGUCUCGCACCGUCGCCCUCGGGCAACGCUGAAUGAGAGGUUGCAGUUCAGGGGUCUGUCUGACACGAGAGGAGGAGCUCCAGCCCAGGGGGGGAACCCAACACUUCAUCCUUCUUCAAGCAACUACAGGACAGGAUGAGGUACCAAGGCAGGGAAGUGGACAUUGAAGGAAGGGUGCGUUUGGUGAUGGAGAGCACCCUAACGGCCCGCGACAGGGUUGGGGUGCAGGACUUUGUCUUGCUGGAGAACCACAACAGCGAGGCAGCCUUUAUAGAGAACCUGCGGCGGCGCUUCAGGGAAAACCUCAUUUAUACGUACAUAGGAUCAGUGUUGGUGUCGGUGAACCCUUACAAGGAGCUAGAGAUUUACUCCAAGCCACAGAUGGAACGCUACAGAGGGGUCAGCUUCUAUGAAAUAUCACCUCACAUCUACGCGGUGUCAGACAACACGUACCGGGCCAUGCGGACCACAUGGAGGGAUCAGUGUAUUCUUAUAUCGGGUGAGAGUGGCUCUGGUAAAACAGAAGCUUCCAAAAAGAUCCUCCUCUACUAUGCUGUCACCUGCCCCACUCAUGAUCACAUGACCACCCUCGGAGACCGCCUACUCCAGUCCAACCCUAUUCUGGAGGCAUUCGGCAAUGCAAAAACACUAAGGAAUGACAACUCCAGUCGUUUUGGAAAAUAUAUGGAUGUUCAGUUUGACUUCAAGGGGGCCCCAGUUGGUGGCCAUAUCCUCAACUACCUGCUGGAGAAAUCUCGUGUAGUCCACCAGAACCACGGCGAAAGAAACUUUCACAUCUUCUAUCAGCUUCUAGACGGCGGGGGCAGUGACCUGCUUCAGAUGCUUGACCUUGAACGAAACCCUCAGAACUACCAAUAUCUGGUCAAGGGAAGCUGUUCCAAAGUCAGCUCCAUUAGUGACAAGACGAACUGGAAAGCUGUGAUGAACGCACUGCUUGUUCUUGGCUUCACUGAGGACGACGUGCAGACUUUGUUGAACAUCAUCGCCAGCGUUCUCCAUCUGGGAAACAGUCAGUUUGGAGAGGGAGAGGAAGGCGAAACGCACAUUACCACUGAGACGCCAAUAGCAAACGUUGCAAAGCUGCUGGGUGUCAAUGCCUCGGCCCUGAGUGAGGCUCUCACUCAUAAGAAGCUCACCACCAAAGAGGAGGAGGUGAUCAUCCCACUCAACUUUGAGCAGGCAGUGGCAGCCCGAGACGCUUUAGCCAAAGCAGUCUAUGGUCGCACCUUCACUUGGUUGGUGGAGAAGAUCAACCAAUCGCUUGCUCUAAAGGAUGACAUGUACCACAGCAACAAAGCCUUCCCAGUCAUAGGGCUUCUAGACAUCUAUGGCUUUGAGGUCCUACAGAACAACAGUUUUGAGCAGUUCUGCAUUAACUACUGCAGUGAGAAGCUCCAGCAGCUCUUUAUUGAGCUCACCCUCAGAUCUGAGCAAGAGGAAUACACAACAGAGGGAAUAGCAUGGGAGAUGGUGGAGUACUUUGACAACAAGAUCAUUUGCGACCUGAUCGAGGAGAAGCACAAGGGCAUCAUCUCCAUUCUGGACGAAGAGUGCCUGAGACCUGGAGAGACGAGUGACGCCUCAUUUUUGGAGAAACUGGAGGACACAUUUGGCAGUCAUCCGCAUUUUGUCACCCACAAGCUGGCGAAUGGGAAAACUCGGAAGGUAAUGAGUAGAGAGGAGUUCAGGCUGCUGCACUAUGCUGGGGAAGUCAACUACAAUGUCAACGGUUUCCUGGACAAGAACAACGACUCUAUGAACAGGAACCUAAAAGAGGUCAUGUGUCAGUCAGACAACCGGAUCAUAAGUCACUGCUUCUCCAUAGAGGAAGUUACAGACCAGAAACGCCCACAGAUGGCUGCCACUCACUUUAAAAACAGCCUGUUGAAACUCCUGGAGAUCCUCAUGACCAAAGAGCCGUCAUAUGUGCGCUGUAUUAAACCUAAUGAUGCCAAGCAGCCAGGUCAUUUUGAUGAAGUUCUGGUCAGACAUCAGGUGAGGUACUUGGGCCUGAUGGAGAACCUAAGGGUCAGAAGAGCUGGCUUUGCCUACAGGCGCAGCUUUGAAGCCUUUCUGCAAAGGUACAAGCCUCUGUGUCCUGAAACGUGGCCCAACUGGGAUGGCAGGCUUGAAGACGGCGUGGCCACACUGGUCAACCACCUGGGCUACCAACCAGAGGAGUACAAACUGGGCAGGUCCAAAAUAUUCAUUCGUUUGCCCAAAACUCUUUUUCUGACUGAAGACGCACUCCAAGCCAAAAAGCCAGAGAUAGCUUUGACCCUGCAGACGUCAUGGAGGGGCUACAGGGAGAGAGCCAAAUACAAACGAAUCAGACACGCAAUCAUAGUGAUUCAGUCUGCAUGGCGAGGGAUGAAAGGACGCCGGCGUGCAAAGAGACGUCGACAGGCUGCUGAGUUGAUACGCAGGUUCAUCAAAGGCUUCAUCUACCGUCAUGAGGACUACUGCCCAGAGAAUGAAUACUUCUUGGAUCAUGUGCGCUACUCCUUCCUCAUGAAGCUCAGCAAAAAUCUACCCACAAGUGUUUUGGACAAAAGCUGGCUGGCAUCUCCUCCCUCUCUUACUGAGGCCUCAGAGCACCUGCGAAAACUGAACAUGCGAAACAUGGUCAUGAAGUAUUGCAACAGGAUCCAACCUGAAUGGAAAAAUCAAAUGACGCAAAAGGUUGUUGCCAGUGAGAUCUUCAAGGAUCAGAAGGACAACUACCCUCAGAGCGUUGGCAGGCUGUUUUUGGACACCAGGAUCGAACGGGAGCAGAUCAAUCUCAAAGUUCUCCAGACUCUCGGUAGCGACAAAGUGCUGUAUGGCGUCCCCGUAACAAAGUAUGACAGAAGGGGUUUCAAGCCUCGACCUCGGCAGCUCCUUCUCUCCAACACCUUUGCUGUGCUGGUGGACAGGACCAAGAUCAAGCAGAGGAUCGACUACGCGACUCUCGGAGGUAUCUCUGUGAGCUCUCUCAGCGAUGGGAUGGUCAUUCUGCACAUGCCCAGUGAGGACAAGAAGCAAAAGGGCGACGUGCUGCUGCACUGCAACCACGUGAUAGAGCUGGUGACAAAACUAGCUCUGAUAGCCCGCAUGUUAAACUAUAUCAACAUCAAGCCUGGCAGUAUUAGGUUUGCAGGGGCUCGAGGCGAUGAGGGAAUUGUAGAUUUCGUCAGGGGCUCCGAGCUGAAGGUGGCCAAGGGCAAAAGAGGACAUCUGCUUGUGACUGCUCCUCGGAUCAACACCACAUGAAGAACCACAAAACCAAGCAAAUGCUUACUAACACUUUUCGCUUACUGGAGAGUUAAGCCUCCUUGCCACCACAAACGCACCGUAUAUAUUCCAAAUCCCGCAUACAAUCAUAACAUAUUUCCUCAUAUAGUGAUCAGGGGAUUACCACACGUCUAUUUGGCGUAAGGCACUUGAAAAUGGGGGAGGCCUAUAUAAUAUGUUAAUAUAAAAAUAUUAAUAUAAUAUCAUUGAAAAAAAUUAUAUCUGUAUUGCAUGAUGUCAUCAUAAUUUAAAGGACACUCCUCAGUUGUGUUUGCCCUGCAUGGAAAAAAUCUAGUGUAAAGGUCAUUCUCUAACUUUCUUCAUUCGCUGUCCAACAAAGGCCUUCUCUUCUCACUAGCAAACAUCACAAUAGUCAGUACAUACCUGUCAGUCACCGACAAACUACCGUAUUUUCCCCUUUUGCCCCUGUUUUAGGCCAUGACCACAUGAACACAGAUAUUUUCAAAAACAUACAUUUCCCCUACUGUGGUGUUCAAAAACGUUCACCCACAUGAGUGGAGUUUUGAAACAAUCUGUGGCCACAUAAAAGCACAUUUAUCAGCCAAUCAUCAGCCUGUAAAAGCUUCCAAAGCUGAUAUACUGUAUACAGUAAAUAUGAGAUAAUGUCACACAUUGCUCAUGACGCAAACCAAAACGGUCCGUUUUAAACGUCCACACACAAACGCUGAAGCCGGAGUUGUAAAAAAUCGAAUUAAGGACGAAAUUAUUUAAAUGAUUGCUGUUUCGUGGCUGAAUAUGCCCCAUUAUUCGUCAACAAAUAUUGAAAUACAAGUCAUAUGUUGUAUUCUGGUCACUCGUAGUCAGCAAUGUCACAUUGAUGAGACAUUACCUUCAAUUACAUCACCUUAACAAUGCAUGGAGUCAGCCAUGGCAUGUCUGACAUGAUAGAGUGAGAAGUUCUCCUCCCAUUCCGUGUGGAAGUGGUACAUUUUUGGCUUCUUACUUUGUCAAACUUUGACAAAUAAAUUGGAGGCUAACUAGUUAGUUCGGUAGCCUGCCCACUUAUCCACAUAUCACGCUUGGGUCUGGAACCAGUUAGCCGCGAUAAACGAGGGACGACCGUAUCCGUAGUCGUGUGGACAUGGCCUUAAUAGUUUCCCGUAUUUUUCCCAUAUUUAAAAAUUUCUUUUUUUAUUUUUAUUUUAUUUUUCAUUUUUUUAUUUUAACUUUCAUUUUAACUGUCAUGGAAAAAAUGCUCUCCAGGUACAACAUCAUAAUACAUCCUGUAGCUGGCAAAGUCAGGCCUUCAUAUACUGUGAGUAAAUAAAAGAAUCAUGCCGGGUUGGAGGUGGGGGUGCUGAUGCAAAUUCAUGUGGAAGAUCAGCAUUUUUCCUUAUUUUGCCUCAUUUUUCUUUUAUUUCACCAUGUAAAUGUUGACAGGUAUGGAUUACUGUUACUCUGGAACACCGAGCCUUACAUGUGCCACGUGUGGUGCGGGCUGCGGUGAACAAGUCUACCACGACUGCAGCUAUUGGAACCUCGGCAUAUUUGUUGAAGUGCGCAAUUAAUUGAGGCCACUAUUUGAGGAAAUAUGCAUGACAUCAUUCAUUGCGUGGAAGAAUUACAUGAAGUCCUCACAUGUUUCUACUUUUUAUUGACAGCCUUAUACAAACAUAUCCUUACUCUAUAAAAUAUUAAAUAUGUAAAACACUGUAUCUCUCUGUAAGAGAAAUAAAACAACAUGGAAAUAAAUAAGUCAAAUAAAUAGCAAAUAUCUUAUUCUUUGGAAAGUCCAGUAGAUUAAGAGCUUGGCUGACAAAACAGGAUGUUGACUUUUGUUGUUGUGUUGUGGGAUUUUAGCACUAAUUUACAGUCAGAGGCAAGGCAGAAACAGUGGGAAAUACCCAGAAAAGCCCUUUCACUUCACAACACAACACCGAAAGCUCUUUUUUUUGCCCAGAGUUUCUAUGUUUUAGAAGCCAGAAGGAGGAAGUCACGGGCCAGCCUGGUGAGGUAAAGGUCCAGAUCCCGCAGAAUGAUGUAACCUUCCACUCGGCUCUCCCACACCGUUUUAGAGUUAUUGGCUUGGCUGGAAGGUGUCCGAGCGGUGGGGAAAGUUAGUUUCCUGCCCUUUAUGUGGCUCAUCUAGACAUUGAAGCGAAAUGUCAACAUUUCAUGUGCACGGUGUUAACGAGGAUAAAAAUGCGUGUGAGCAUACCUGACUGCUGACUUGGCUCAUCAGGUCCCUCACGUCCAGCUCAAUGUGGGUGAUGCUCUGAGAUAAAGUGCUGUGCACAUGCCUCUUAUCUUUUUCCUCCUUCUCCAGACCUUUCCUCUUCCACUCCAGCAUAUUCUUGUAGCUUUGCAAGUCUGACAGAGCGGCAUGUAGUCGUUCCCAAUCCUGGACGCACAACAAAGUGUAACCAAGAAGUCGAAUAAAGGUAACUUUUAGAUAAAUAAAUAAACAGUCACUGACGGGAAGCUGGAGCCAGCUGUAGAAGUCUGUAGAAAGCACUGGUAGGUCCUUUAAAUGACCACCUCUGUGCUCAAAGUGCUUGUUUCCUAACUGGUGCUCCUUCUGGUGAGAAAAUCAGAACAUUUGAGUCCACAGUGAAGCUGCGCAUGCAGGCACAAGGUGGCCAUCUUUUGGAGUUGCUCACCACUUACAUAUUUAUUCAGCAGCUGCUGGACACGGCUGCGGGUGGACCUCACGAGGAGGAAGGAGUCAUUGUAUUUAGCCUUGAGGAUGCCAGGAGGUGGAGCUGAGGGCUCGGCACACUUCAGGAUGCAACAAAGAAUGACGAGAGCACAGCACCAAAGAGUCAUCUGCAAAUAAAACAGGUAUUUACAAAAGGCAAGAAGUACAUUUGGAAUACAGGAGGUGAACAAAUAUACUGCAGCUGACGUGAAACUACUGAGGGGUAGGAUUAAAUAAGCCUCGCUUCUUCCUACUCCUUUUUGGACAUGCGGAACUGUGUGCAUGUUCAAGAUGAAUUAAGCCAUUACCAUAUUUAGUGGAACCUCAGUUAGUGGCCGCCCAGGUUAGCGUGUUUUUUGGUUAAAAUUAAACAUUUAUGCUAUAAUUUUGCCUCGGUUAGCGCACAUUUUCUGGUCAGCGUGUUGUCGUGUUGCUACUAUAAUACACUGAGUGAGUCCA